UAGGGAAUUUUGGGCAAUGGGCGAAAGCCUGACCCAGCAACGCCGCGUGUGGGAUGAAGGCCCUCGGGUCGUAAACCACUGUCAGGAGGAAAGAAAAGUCGGCCGGAUAAUACUCGGUCGACCUGACGGUACCUCCAAAGGAAGCACCGGCUAACUCCGUGCCAGCAGCCGCGGUAAUACGGAGGGUGCAAGCGUUGUUCGGAAUUACUGGGCGUAAAGGGCUCGUAGGUGGCCAACUAAGUCAGACGUGAAAUCCCUCGGCUUAACCGGGGAACUGCGUCUGAUACUGGAUGGCUGGAGUCCGGGAGAGGGAUGCGGAAUUCCAGGUGUAGCGGUGAAAUGCGUAGAUAUCUGGAGGAACACCUGAGGCGAAGGCGGGUUGCUGGGCUGAUACUGACGCUGAGGCGCGAAAGCUAGGGUAGCAAACGGGAUUAGAUACCCGUGUAGUCCCUGAGCGGGCUGGCAAGGCGCAU
RNAcentral lists this ribosomal RNA (473 nucleotides) under uncultured bacterium. RNAcentral describes it as "bacterial SSU rRNA". It matches the Rfam family "Bacterial small subunit ribosomal RNA", at positions 355 to 825 of the family's 1533-position model. The record is from RNAcentral.